AAGCUUUUAGGAAGUUUCUUCCGCUCUUUGACAGAGUAUUGGUGGGAAGGGGUGCCGCCAAAAUGUAACCAAAGGUGGCAUUAUGCUUCCAGAAAAGGCUCAAGGAAAAGUGUUGCAAGCAACAGUCAUGGAGGAAAGGGCGGAGAGAUUGAGCCUGUCAGUGUGAAAGUUGGAGAUAAAGUUCUUCUCCCAGAAUAUGGAAGCACCAAAGUAGUUCUAGACAACAAGGAUUAUUUCUUAUUUAGAGAUAGUGACAUUCUUGGAAAGUAUGUCGACU
RNAcentral lists this long non-coding RNA (277 nucleotides) under Mus musculus (house mouse). Its description in RNAcentral is "long non-coding RNA chr5:25391607-25391884". The record is from RNAcentral. Lineage: Eukaryota; Metazoa; Chordata; Mammalia; Rodentia; Muridae.